This is a long non-coding RNA of Lycium ferocissimum, 2588 nucleotides long. RefSeq lists it as uncharacterized. The record is from RefSeq and is a predicted model, not a curated record. The transcript has 3 exons. NCBI's taxonomy places the organism in Eukaryota, Viridiplantae, Streptophyta, Magnoliopsida, Solanales, Solanaceae.
GUCGCUGCGCUUCAUUUAUCCGUAUGCCUCCCUUUCUUCCUCCCAUUCUCCUCCCUUUCGUUAAGUCAAGCUUUAGGAAUUUUUCCCUCUCAGUCUGUUUGAUUCCCGGCAAAAGUGCCAUUUUCCAGUCGUUUCAAACAAAACCCUGCGUUUUUUCUAACUUUCACUAUUAAGGUUCUCUUACAAAUUAUAUUACUUUCAUUGUUAAGCAUUCUCUUAGAAAAUACUUCACCCAAUACAUAGUGCCAAAGCACAUCAACUUCCGCCAAAACAUAAUUUAAUCAAUAGGGGAUAAGAAUUUCACCCAUAUGCCAUUCUGUUUCAAACCAAAACUUUAAAAUUUUCAUCUCCAAUAGCAACAAAGGUAGAGAAGUAAUCAGUGGAGGAGAAGAAGUUUAUCGUCUGCGAGAAAAAUCCAAAGAUACAUCAAAUAUAGUUCACACAAGCCGCUUGAAAUACGAGAAAUCGAAUAGUUCAACCUUCUAAAAUCUGGAUUAACAAGCUACAAACCAGUGAUGAUGGAAAGAUUUAUGUGUGCUCAAAAACUAACUUUUAUUCCUUUGAAAGCAAUGGUUCUGUCGCAUGGACGUUGUCUCUCAAUUAUAAAUGCAGCCCAAGUAUAGCUCCAGUUCCAGGGGAAUCAAGAAAGGCGAGGCUUCCACACUAUUCUCAUUCGUAAGAGACGUCUUUUUAUAUCCUCAUCCUCAUUUCUUACUGGUGUAUGUGCAUAUGCUUUGUAAUUAUUUCUUCCUACAAUUUUUUGCAAAUUCCUCUGCUUUCAAGCAGAAAAACCAAACCCAAAAACGCAAACAAACAAACACCACUUCAAAAGUCCAAGCCUUUUAAAACUCUUUUGACUCCCUUAUUUCUCUUCCUCUCUCCCUCUUCGUCCUUCGUGAUGCGUCCAGCAGAUGCAACUUUUCCCUUUUAUUUUUUCUCAAUGACGAGGGCCAACAGAUUUACUCUAUCUUCAUCUUGAUUGGUUUCGGAUGCAUACAUCUACCCUGUACGCAAAUGUUCAGACUGUUGGAGGGAGCUAAUGAGAUUCACUUGUAUAGGCAUUUGGAAAUUUUUCUUAUUUACUUCCUUCUUGACACAUGAGUUAUAAACUCGAUUUUUUCCUCUUUUCAAAUUCAAAAGCCAUUCUUACUAACGCUAAUGGGAGAGCUCUGAAGACGUGGUUUGGCGUACUAAAUUAGCACUUCUUUCCCAUGUCCAUCUUUUAUUAUACUAUUCUGCACGUCUCGCACUACAAUGAAUUUUUUUGUCUAUAUUAUAUCAGUUAUACGCUAAGUUAUAAUCUGAUAGCGAAGUCGCCUUUUCUUAGUACAACAUAUCAAACUUUAAUUGUAAUCUAUAGCAUACUACAAUUGUAUACCUAUAAUUUAAGCAUGACUUAUGCAUGUGUAUUUUUGCUAUAAUCGUAAUGGAUAUCCGUGCUUUGGCUACACUCUUUGAUUUUAAUGUAUUCGUAAGUUCCCUUAAAUAUUAUUUAACAAUGUGUGAAGUUUCAACUUUUAUUUUGCGGAUGCGCAUUGCAUAAUGAAUCUGUUAGUGAUGAUUCGCUGGUUUUGUCCCUUUUCAGUUUUUAUCUGUCCCUUCAUUUGGUUUUUCACAUGCUGGAGAAGACUGCAAACUUUCUUUUUCAUUUCUUUUGAAGUCCUUUGCUUUAGCUUCCAAGGCAAAUUUGAUCUCUUCUAUGAAGCUGCAGAUUUUGAUCCCUCGGGAAUCCUUUUCCAAAAAUUUCACACAAACAUCUGUUCGUAGUCAUCAGUGUCUUUAGUACGUACUACUUUAUAAGUUAUAGCAUUAUAAAGAAUUUAGUACUUGCUACUUUCUUACUUUCUAUAGUAUUUUAGAGAAUUUAGUACUAGCUAUAAAAUCAUGUGCACUAAAAAAGUUAGCUUCGUCUUGAACAUAAUCUCUCGGCUAAAGGAAAAAUAUUGAACUUUCCGGAGAAACACCUUUUGGAUAUGAUGCCAACCUUAUGAAAGAUGUCUCAAAUGUGAAGGAUUGAGAUUUAAAUUUGAAGUUUGAAGGAUUUUUAUUUAGAUCUCUCCGUCUCUCUUUGAUUGAGUGUAAAAAGGUGGCUAGGUAAUUAAGUUUUCUCUGACUUUUAUGGUGCAUCACUUUUUCUAAUUUGUAAAAUAGCUAUAUUGUUAGGGAUGCAGGACGGAAUAUAUGAUGCCACAAAUACCACAAGGAAAAGUAGGAAUAUGCUUUACUAAAACGGCUAAAGGAAAAUACCCAGUAGAUUUUAGUAAAUUAUUCGUAUAUAUCGGUAUCUUGAUAGGAUUUUAUAUUGUCUUAUGUUGUAUUUUUCACAAUCAAUGAAAGUCUUAACUUAUAUCUGAUGUUGGAAGGUGGAACGUAGGGAUAAUAUCUCGGUCUUCCUCAUUCUUUGUGAAGUCAAUGUUCCCAUCAUUGAUUCAUUUGAGAGGAAGUCAUUGCCUUCUUUUCCGUUGUCAGCAAGAUUUAGUAUUAUGAAGUCUCUCUCACUUUGUGCAACUUCUACCUGUGAAUAUCAAAGUUUUCAAGCUUCUUUCUAUUGAGAAAGAAGUAGAGUUAAUGGACAUCAAUUACGUAGA